Molecule: ribosomal RNA, 125 nt
Filed under: Amphilophus citrinellus (Midas cichlid)
Lineage: Eukaryota; Metazoa; Chordata; Actinopteri; Cichliformes; Cichlidae
Source: RNAcentral
AUUUGCCCCCUUACUGAUUUUGAUAUGAGCCUGCCAGAUCUUGUCUGAUCUUAGAAGCUCAGCUGGGCCAGGCCUGAUUAGUUGUUGGAUGAGAGAUUGCCUGGGAAUACCAGGUGCUGCAAGCU